RNAcentral lists this ribosomal RNA (550 nucleotides) under uncultured bacterium. RNAcentral's name for it is "bacterial SSU rRNA". It matches the Rfam family "Bacterial small subunit ribosomal RNA", at positions 355 to 896 of the family's 1533-position model. The record is from RNAcentral.
UAGGGAAUCUUCGGCAAUGGGGGCAACCCUGACCGAGCAACGCCGCGUGAGUGAAGAAGGUUUUCGGACCGUAAAGCUCUGUUGUAAGAGAAGAACGAGUGUGAGAGUGGAAAGUUCACACUGUGACGGUAACUUACCAGAAAGGGACGGCUAACUACGUGCCAGCAGCCGCGGUAAUACGUAGGUCCCGAGCGUUAUCCGGAUUUAUUGGGCGUAAAGCGAGCGCAGGCGGUUAGAUAAGUCUGAAGUUAAAGGCUGUGGCUUAACCAUAGUACGCUUUGGAAACUGUUUAACUUGAGUGCAGAAGGGGAGAGUGGAAUUCCAUGUGUAGCGGUGAAAUGCGUAGAUAUAUGGAGGAACACCGGUGGCGAAAGCGGCUCUCUGGUCUGUAACUGACGCUGAGGCUCGAAAGCGUGGGGAGCAAACAGGAUUAGAUACCCUGGUAGUCCACGCCGUAAACGAUGAGUGCUAGGUGUUGGGUCCUUUCCGGGACUCAGUGCCGCAGCUAACGCAUUAAGCACUCCGCCUGGGGAGUACGACCGCAAGGUUG